Molecule: ribosomal RNA, 469 nt
Filed under: uncultured bacterium
Lineage: Bacteria
Description: bacterial SSU rRNA
Rfam family: Bacterial small subunit ribosomal RNA
Source: RNAcentral
UCCAGACUCCUACGGGAGGCAGCAGUGAGGAAUAUUGGUCAAUGGGCGGAAGCCUGAACCAGCCAAGUCGCGUGAGGGAAGAAGGCCCUGCGGGUCGCAGACCUCUUUGGACGGGGAGCAAGGCCGCCGACGUGUCGGCGGAAGGAGAGUACCCGUAGAACAAGCAUCGGCUAACUCCGUGCCAGCAGCCGCGGUAAUACGUAGGGGGCAAGCGUUAUCCGGAUUUACUGGGUGUAAAGGGAGCGUAGACGGCCAUUCAAGCCAGAUGUGAAAGCCCGGGGCUCAACCCCGGGACUGCAUUUGGAACUGUGUGGCUAGAGUGUCGGAGAGGCAGGCGGAAUUCCUAGUGUAGCGGUGAAAUGCGUAGAUAUUAGGAGGAACACCAGUGGCGAAGGCGGCCUGCUGGACGAUGACUGACGUUGAGGCUCGAAAGCGUGGGGAGCAAACAGGAUUAGAUACCCCCGUAUCG